This is a long non-coding RNA of Anolis carolinensis (green anole), 5481 nucleotides long. The record is from Ensembl. Lineage: Eukaryota; Metazoa; Chordata; Lepidosauria; Squamata; Anolidae.
AUGUCUAUGCAAUUUCAAGAUGAUGCAGAUGGUAUACCUCCUUCUGAGGCUGAAAGUAGGAAUGAAAGGCCCCAAAGGAUAAAGCACCCUUCAGCCAAGAUGCUAGCCCAUCUAAUAGAUGAAAAGGAGCUCCUCCAUGUGAGGUUAGGUUCGGCAUGGGAGCGAAUUGUAACAUUAAUGGACAGAAUUGAGAGCUUGGGUAUUACAAGGGUGCCAUCCAUAUUACAGACAGACCUUGAAGAGACCUUCGGUAUUUGGAGGGGUUUGGUGUCUAAGAUAGUCCAGGUCCUCGAGCGCAUUAACGCCAAGGAUUCAGAGUUAGAAAUAGUGAGUGUCUUAGCUGACACUAAUGGGAAAGAAAAUAAGGUGAGGGCAAUUCUAGAUGCCUUGGAAUUUAGUUCUCCAUCUGUUAAUCUAAGGUCUGAGCCAAAAGGAAAUCAGUCUUCCUUAUGCAGCCAUGAGACCAAUCUUUUAAAAUCACCUGCUGUGGCACUUAGUCUUAAGUCCAACCGCUCUAGCCAGGUAUCUAAGCUAAGGGAGUGUGCAUCAUCUAAACAUAGCCACUCUAGCAAGUCUUCUGCUGCUGGGAGUGCCAUCUCUUCCCUAGCUGCCUUGCACAUUAAGGAGGCCGCACGUCUAGAGCUAAAGAGCAAGGUAGCGGGGGCGGAGGCUGAUGCUAAGGCAGCUGAUCUCACCCUUCCCUUUAAAGAAGAAGAGCAACGACUGCAAAUAGAACAGGCCCGUAGACAAAGCGAAAUGCAAAUAGAACAGGCCCGUAGACAAAGCGAAAUGCAAAUAGAACAGGCCCGUAGACAAAGCGAAAUGCAAAUGGAACAGGCCCAAAGGCAAGGUGAAAUAGAAAUGCUUAGAAUAAGGAUGGAUGCUACUGCCAAAAAGGUAAGGGCUGAGACUUUGGCCAAGGCCCUAAUUGAGCCACUCACAGAAGAAAAUGUAAGUCAGUUGCCGAAGCAGGACCCUUCUUCCAAGGUGCUUGUGCAUCUUAAUAGCUUAAACAGCCAGUUUUCGGAUGAGGAACAGGAAGACUUCUCUCCUUACCCAGAGCAGGGCCCCAAAGUCACUUUUGAGUUUCCUGCAGAGCAGAGCGUCAUAGCGGGGAGCUCACCCUUGCCCGAGCUACCUGUGCCUCCUGCUAAAGCCCUAGGUCAGUCAAUCAGGGCCUCAAGGCCAAGUGCUAGUUGGCCCUUACAGACAGCUGCACAGGGAGCCACCGAUUCGUCAGUGGUCGAUGUCAUCCCUCCAAGAGGCCAAAGGUUGACGCAAGGUGCACGGUGGGAGUCCACUCCACAACAGCAAACUCCUCAAUUGUUCCCUUCGACGCCAGAGUCCCAGCUUGUCUCCAUCAUCAGAAGCCCCAGAAGAGAUCUUAAGGACAAGGGUGUCGAAAAGUUUUCGGACAAGCCUGAGGAAUUUCUUCUCUGGAAGGCCACCUUCCAGAGAGCAAUCAGAGACUUAAAGUUAUUGCCUGAGGAAGAACUGACUCUUCUGGCUGCAUGGUUGAGCCCAGCCUCAUCCUCACAAGUUAAGAAGAUCUACGCAGCCCACGUAGCCGAUCCCGACAAAGCCCUGGAAAAGGCCUGGGCCAGGUUGCAGCAGAGGUAUGGGGCCAGCACAGAGAUUGAAGCAUCUCUUAUGGACAAGCUCCAAAGGUUCCCAGCUUUGAAACUCAAAGACUUCAAACUCUUGUGGGACCUCAGCGAUCUCCUUACGGAAUUAGAGUCGGCCAAGGAGAAUCCAGAACUGCCCGGUUUGAAGUGCCUCGAUCAGCACCUGUCCCAGAGGCAGAUCUUGACCAAGCUGCCCUUCACUUUGCAAGAACGCUGGGGACAGGAGGUCUUCAACUACAAGGAGGCCCACUCCCAGGCAUACCCUCCAUUUUCUCAUUUGGUCCAGUUCAUCACCAGGGCGGCCAGAGAAAGGAAUGAUCCGCAGACGGGCCUCCCCACCUUAUACCAAGGGACCCAGCCAGAGAAGGCACCUAAAGUGGAGAAAAAACCAUCCAGAGAGGCCAAAAGACCGGUUAGUGUUAAGGCUGUUGAAACUCAGCACAGGGCCAACGAAUCCAAGUCAGAGGUGAAGGAGGUGCUCUGCCCCAUUCACCAAAAGCCUCACAGUUUGGCCAACUGCCGGGAAUUUGGCAAGAAGCCUUAUAAAGAAAGACAACAGAUUGUACAGAAGCUGGGCAUAUGUUUUAGGUGCUGUGGAGCAACUCCUCACUUUGCAUCCAACUGCAAAGAGGACGUCAAAUGCGCAAGGUGUAACAGCCUUAAGCAUUGCACCGCGAUGCACAACUCUGACGCUGUCUCCCGCGCCAAAGGGGACACGUCUUCCAAAGAAGGGUCAUCUACUGAAGCCACCAACAUGCAGACCGCGUCACGGAUGCAGGAGGAUGCUCCAUCGGUCGCCUGUACUGAACUAUGCUCUGACGUGCACCAGUUCAGAGUCUGCCAUCCCAUCUGCCUAGCAGAUGUAUAUCCAGCCAGAAGACCUUGGCUUAAAAAGAGACUUUACGUGGCUUUGGAUUCACAAAGCGACGCCUCCCUGGCGACUCCAGAGUUUUUCCAACUGUUUGACAUAAAAACCCAGACGGUCGACUACACCAUGUCCACCUGUGUAGGGAAGAAGAAGUUGCAGGGUCGCAUAGCAUCCGGCUUUGUUGUCUCCUCUUGUGACCAGAAGAGACUGUUCGAGUUACCAGACCUCAUUGAGUGUUCCUCUAUUCCCCGGAACAAAAGGCAGAUUGUCACCAGAGAAGUCGUGGAAGCCCAUCCUCACUUGCGAAAGCUGAAGAACGCCUUACCUGCUUUCCGUCCAGAUGUGGACAUUGCCCUUCUGCUUGGUGCGGACUGUCCGAACUUGUUCUAUGUGAACGACCAAGUUAAGGGACGUCCAGGGGCGCCCAUUGCUCAGCUGCUACCACUAGGCUGGACAGUUACAGGCCCGGUGUGCAUAAAUAGGAUGCACCCUCCAUCGUCGGUGGGCACUCGUCAAGCGCACGUGCUUCAAGGCAGUCGCCCCACACUAAUGCAUAGCUGUUUGAGUCAUAUCUCGGUCUAUUGUCAGGGGAUAACACCAGAGUAUUCUUCCGUCUUUGAAGUCUCCGAAAGGGAUGAAACUACAGCGCUUUCCAAAGAUGAACAGAGGUUUUUAGAGAUCAUGAACUCUCAAGUUUCCCGGAGUCCCGAGGGAAAUUGGAUAGCCCCUCUGCCUUUUAAAGCAGAAAAACCCACUUUGCCAAACAACAGGCAUGUGACAGAAAAAAGACUCUGGUCACUGAAGAAGAUAGGAUGGGAUCAAGAGCUGACCCCAUCGGUGAAAGCAGCUUGGGCAAAUUGGACUUCUCAAGCUGAAGGACUGGAAACCAUCACAGUUCCCAGACAAUUUGCGCCCUGUAAGGUAAUGAUAGAACCCACCACAGAACUUCACAUCUUCUGUGACGCAUCUGAGCGAGCUAUAGCAGCUGUGGCAUACAUGCGACAAAAGGACAGAGAUUUUUGUCACGCAGGAUUCAUCAUGGCAAAGGCUAAAAUAGCUCCUAUGGGAACUUCAAUACCCCGGCUGGAAUUGUGUGCAGCAGUUCUUGCUGUCCAGCUCUGGCGCAUCAUCCAGCAAGAGAUAGGAGACUUGUUUCAAGAUGUCCAUUUCCACACGGACAGUACAGUUGUGCUUGGUUACAUCAACAACACAACCAAAAGAUUCAAGGUGUAUGUGGCUAAUAGAAUCAACAACAUUCUAUCCAGUUCUACGCCUAGCCAGUGGCACCACGUCGCCACCAGCAACAACCCAGCUGACAUCGCUUCCAGAGGAGCUUCAACUCAACGAGUGUUAAGUUCAAGUUGGCUGACAGGCCCCAGAUGCUUGACCGAAGUCAAUUUUCCAUCAGCCUUUUCUCCCACCGAUAAUACAGAAUUGCCCGAGUCCGUUCCAGAGGUGAAAGUUUGCAAGAUGACCACAGAAAUCAAGAUGGGCCAAAGAUCUUGCCUGGAACCACACCGUUUUGAAUGUUUUUCGGAGUGGCACAGUCUUCUUAGAGCAGUUGCUAGGCUUAUACAUCGUUUAGCUUGCAAAGAUAGUGAGCCUUUACAGGUCCAGGAUAUGAUAAAGGCUAAGAGCGUCAUAUUCAAGUCAGUACAGAGAUCUGCUUUCAAGCAGGAAAUAGCUAGGCUAGAGCAAGGGCUCAACAUCCCUAAUCAAAGUCUUCUAAAUGAGUUAAACCCAUUUCUAGACAAGGAGGGUAUUUUGAGAGUUGGAGGAAGGUUAGCCAAAGCUAAACUCAAGGCGUGCAUAAAAAACCCCAUCAUCAUACCCCCUAAUAGUCACACUGCAUUGCUGCUCGUUCGGCAUCACCAUGAAAGGAUCCAUCAUCAGGGUAGAACUCUAACUGAGGCAGCCCUUAGAAAUGAAGGUCUGUGGGUAGUUAAUGCCAAAAGGUUGGUCAACAGUUGUAUUUUCAAAUGUGUCAAAUGUCGGCGACUCAGACGAAACUGUCAAAGUCAGUUGAUGGCAGAACUACCUCAGGAUAGGACUUUGACAGACCCACCCUUUUCCCAUGUGGGAAUCGAUGUGUUUGGUCCUUGGGAGGUUGUUACCAGAAAAACCAGGGGUGGUGUUGUAAAUAACAAGAGGUGGGCAGUUUUGUUUACUUGUUUAGUAAUACGAGCUGUCCAUAUAGAAGUCAUAGAAGGGAUGGACACUUCAUCAUUUUUAAACGCAUUAAAAAGGUUCAUAGCCCUCAGAGGGCCAAUUAAGUCAACUCGGUCGGACUGUGGCACCAAUUUUGUAGGUGCGACCAAAGAACUCAAUUGUGUGUCUAGGUUUGGGAGAGACCCAAAGGUUCAGAACUUUACGAAUACUGAACAAAUUAUGUGGACUUUCAAUGUUCCUCACGCCUCCCACAUGGGUGGUGUUUGGGAGAGGAUGAUUGGUAUUAGUCGCAAAAUCCUUAAUGCCAUGCUUUUGAGUCAUAGGUCAUUGACGCAUGAUGUUUUGGUGACACUUAUGGCGGAAGUUACCGCAAUUAUCAACAACCGGCCGCUGGUUCCCCUUACCAGUGACCCUGAGAACUUACAACCACUGACUCCUGCACUUAUUUUGACACAAAAGGUGCCAGGAUGGAAGGACAUCAUGUUGCCAGUUCCGGACGGAACUCACCGUGCCCUGUGGAAACAGGUGCAGUCCUUGGCCAACCACUUUUGGAAAAGGUGGAAAGCUGAGUACUUAAGCCAGCUUCAAGCUAGAAGAAUCUGGCAAACCCCAAAGGACAAUGCCAAGGUGGGAAACCUUGUGUUGCCAAAGGACAAAGACUUGCCCCGCUAUGCCUGGCCUAUGGGCAUUAUACUAAAGACCUUUCCUUGCCCUGACGGUAAGGUUAGAAAAGUUCAAGUAAAGACUCAUAGUAAGGACAAAAUGUCUGUCCUGGACAGACCAAUUAGUGACCUCGUGUUGCUUAUUGGAGAUGUUUAA